Non-coding RNA from Schistosoma curassoni, 46 nucleotides. NCBI's taxonomy places the organism in Eukaryota, Metazoa, Platyhelminthes, Trematoda, Strigeidida, Schistosomatidae. The record is from Rfam.
GCACUGCUGAGGAAUCCAACAAUAGGACGAAACGGUCGUCCAGUGC